This 1021-nucleotide long non-coding RNA is filed under the name Sus scrofa (pig). RNAcentral describes it as "lncRNA (ENSSSCG00040001184.1)". The record is from RNAcentral. Lineage: Eukaryota; Metazoa; Chordata; Mammalia; Artiodactyla; Suidae.
AGCCAAACAAAAGAGAACAAAGGCAUCAAUUCUCAAUCUUGAGUUUCAAAGAGCUUUUUCAAAGUCCUGGCAAAGAAAACAGGUUGAUAGAAAAUGUUUCUGUAUUUCAAAAGUGGCAUUUCUUGUACCAAAAGCCAUGUGCUAUGAUGUUUACAAUAGUUUUGGGGAGAUUAUGUGAUACUUAAAAAAAAACAAUUUUUAAGUGAUUUUUUUUUCCAUCAUGGCUGGUUUACAGUGUUCUGUCAGUUUUCUACUGUACAGCAAGGUGACCCAGUCAUACAUACAUAUAUACAUUCUUUUUCUCACAUUAUCAUGCUCCAUCACAAGUGACUAGAUAUAGUUCCCCAUGCUGUACGGCAGGAUCUCAUUGCUUAUCCAUUCCAAAGGCAAUAGUUUACAUCUAUUAACCCCUAAUUCCCAGUCCCUCUCCCUCCCUCCCCCUCCCCCUUGGCCACCACAAGUCUGUUCUCCCAAUUCCAUGAUUUUCUUUUCUGUGGAAAGGUUCAUUUGUGCUUUAUAUUGUAUUCCAGAUAUAAAUGAGAUCAUAUGGUAUUUGUCUUUGUUUCUGACUUACUUCACUUAGUAUGAGAAUCUGUAGUUCCAUCAAUGUUGCUGCAAAUGGCAUUAUUUUGUUCUCAGGCUAGGGGCCCAAUUGGAGCUAUAGCUGCUGGCCUAUGCCAUAGCCACAGCAACUUGGGAUCUGAGCCAUGUCUGCGACCUACACCACAGCUCAUAGCAAUGCUGGAUCCUUAACCCACUGAGCAAGGCCAGGGAUCAAACCUACAUCCUCAUGGAUACUAGUCAGUUUUGUUAACCACUGAGCCAUGAUGGGAACUCCUACCUCAUAGUAGUUUUGAUUUGCAUUUCUCUAAUAAUCAGUGAUGUUGAACAUUUUUUCAUGUGCUUGUUGGUCAUCUGUACAUCUUUGGAGAAUUGUCUGUUCAAGUCUUUUGCCCAUUUUUCCAUUGGGUGGUUGGCUUUUUUGCUGUUGAGUUGUAAAAAAAAAAAAAAAAAAAAAAAA